CCUACGGGCGGCAGCAGUGAGGAAUAUUGGUCAAUGGGCACUAGCCUGAACCAGCCAAGUAGCGUGAAGGAUGACUGCCCUAUGGGUUGUAAACUUCUUUUAUAUGGGAAUAAGGUGUAGUAUGGAUACUGCUUUGCGUGUACCUUAUGAAUAAGGAUCGGCUAACUCCGUGCCAGCAGCCGCGGUAAUACGGAGGAUGCGAGCGUUAUCCGGAUUUAUUGGGUUUAAAGGGAGCGUAGGCGGUUUGUUAAGUCAGUUGUGAAAUUUUGCGGCUCAACCGUAGAAUUGCAGUUGAUACUGGCAUCCUUGAGUACAGUAGGGGUAGGCGGAAUUCGUGGUGUAGCGGUGAAAUGCUUAGAUAUCACGAAGAACUCCGAUCGCGAAGGCAGCCUGCUGGCCUGUAACUGACGCUGAUGCACGAAAGUGUGGGUAUCAAACAGGAUUAGAUACCCGUGUAGUC
RNAcentral lists this ribosomal RNA (460 nucleotides) under uncultured bacterium. RNAcentral describes it as "partial 16S ribosomal RNA". It matches the Rfam family "Bacterial small subunit ribosomal RNA", at positions 338 to 795 of the family's 1533-position model. The record is from RNAcentral.